RNAcentral lists this ribosomal RNA (238 nucleotides) under uncultured bacterium. Its description in RNAcentral is "partial 16S ribosomal RNA". It matches the Rfam family "Bacterial small subunit ribosomal RNA", at positions 96 to 334 of the family's 1533-position model. The record is from RNAcentral.
CGGCGGACGGGUGAGUAACGCGUGGGUAACCUGCCUCAUACAGGGGGAUAACAGUUGGAAACGGCUGCUAAUACCGCAUAAGCGCACAGUACCGCAUGGUACCGUGUGAAAAACUCCGGUGGCAUGAGAUGGACCCGCGUCUGAUUAGCUAGUUGGUGGGGUAACGGCCUACCAAGGCGACGAUCAGUAGCCGACCUGAGAGGGUGACCGGCCACAUUGGGACUGAGACACGGCCCAA